This 738-nucleotide long non-coding RNA is filed under the name Heterocephalus glaber (naked mole-rat). Its description in RNAcentral is "lncRNA (ENSHGLG00000045682.1)". The record is from RNAcentral. Lineage: Eukaryota; Metazoa; Chordata; Mammalia; Rodentia; Bathyergidae.
CAUCAUGGUUAGGGUUAGGGUUCUUCUUUUCAUAAGGGUCAUGGAUAGUUCGGAAGUAGCGGUACCUGAAAAUGACUCAGGGUUUGGCUAUUUUUAGGGCUAGGGUUAGGGUUAAGGUCAGGGUGAUAGAUAGCAUUGAAAUUGAAAUGCCUGUGUGGGUCAAAGUGGGUUGGAAAGUGAGUAUUAGGGUAAGUUCCUGUGGAAGAGGAGGGAGAAUGUCCAAUCACAGUCACCUGGGUAGUAUGAUUUGGUCCUGCGGCUUAGGGUUAGGGUUAGGGUUAGGAGUGCGUUUAGCUUUAGGGUUUCAAUUCAUGUACGUGACGUUUGGAGUGUGGGAAUGGUUGUUAGGUUUAGGGUUCUUCUUUUCGUUAUGGUCAUGUAUGCUGCGGAAGUAGCGGUACUAGAAAAUGACCUAGGGUUCAGCCAGGGUUCGGGCUAGGGUUAGGGUUAGUUUCAGGGUGAUAGAUAUGAUUGAAAUUGAAUUGCCUGUGUCUUCCAAAGCGGGUUGGAAAGUUAGUAUUAGUAAAAUUUCAUGGAGAGGCUGAGGGAAAAUAUAGAAUUUCAAGUACAUGGUUAUUGGGAUUUGGUCCUAUACCUUAGGGUUAGGCUUAGGGCUAGGUGUAGGUUUAUGUUUAGGGUUCCAAUUAAUACACCUGACAUUUCGAGUGUGGCUAGGAUUGUUAGGGUUAGGGUUCUUCUUUUCGUAAGGGUCAUGCAUAGUGUGGAAAUAGCGGUACC